This is a non-coding RNA of Ixodes scapularis (black-legged tick), 73 nucleotides long. The record is from Rfam. NCBI's taxonomy places the organism in Eukaryota, Metazoa, Arthropoda, Arachnida, Ixodida, Ixodidae.
CCCAGGUUAGCUCAGUUGGUAGAGCGCUCCACUGGAAAUGGAGGGGUCCCAGGUUCGAUACCAGGACCAGGCG